GAUGAACGCUAGCGGCAGGCCUAAUACAUGCAAGUCGUGGGGCAGCAUGAAGUAGCAAUACUUUGAUGGCGACCGGCAAACGGGUGCGGAACACGUACACAACCUUCCUUUUAGUGGGGAAUAGCCCAGAGAAAUUUGGAUUAAUACCCCGUAACAUUGCGAUGUGGCAUCACAUUGCAAUUAUAGCUUCGGCGCUUAUUGAUGGGUGUGCGUAUGAUUAGAUAGUUGGCGAGGUAACGGCUCACCAAGUCUACGAUCAUUAGCUGAUGUGAGAGCAUGAUCAGCCACACGGGCACUGAGACACGGGCCCGACUCCUACGGGAGGCAGCAGUAAGGAAUAUUGGUCAAUGGACGAAAGUCUGAACCAGCUAUGCCGCGUGAAGGAUUAAGGUCCUCUGGAUUGUAAACUUCUUUUAUAUGGGACGAAAAAAGGUCUUUCUAGAUCACUUGACGGUACCAUAUGAAUAAGCACCGGCUAACUCCGUG
RNAcentral lists this ribosomal RNA (486 nucleotides) under uncultured bacterium. Its description in RNAcentral is "bacterial SSU rRNA". It matches the Rfam family "Bacterial small subunit ribosomal RNA", at positions 28 to 507 of the family's 1533-position model. The record is from RNAcentral.